CUCGUAGGCGGUUUGUCGCGUCUGCUGUGAAAUCCCGAGGCUCAACCUCGGGCCUGCAGUGGGUACGGGCAGACUAGAGUGCGGUAGGGGAGAAUGGAACUCCUGGUGUAGCGGUGGAAUGCGCAGAUAUCAGGAAGAACACCAAUGGCGAAGGCAGUUCUCUGGGCCGUAACUGACGCUGAGGAGCGAAAGCAUGGGGAGCGAACA
RNAcentral lists this ribosomal RNA (207 nucleotides) under uncultured bacterium. RNAcentral's name for it is "partial 16S ribosomal RNA". It matches the Rfam family "Bacterial small subunit ribosomal RNA", at positions 568 to 774 of the family's 1533-position model. The record is from RNAcentral.